This 468-nucleotide ribosomal RNA is filed under the name uncultured bacterium. Its description in RNAcentral is "partial 16S ribosomal RNA". It matches the Rfam family "Bacterial small subunit ribosomal RNA", at positions 28 to 507 of the family's 1533-position model. The record is from RNAcentral.
GACGAACGCUGGCGGCGUGCUUAACACAUGCAAGUCGAACGGAAAGGCCCUGCUUUUGUGGGGUGCUCGAGUGGCGAACGGGUGAGUAACACGUGAGUAACCUGCCCUUGACUUUGGGAUAACUUCAGGAAACUGGGGCUAAUACCGGAUAGGAGCUCCUGCUGCAUGGUGGGGGUUGGAAAUUUCCGGCGUUUGGGGAUGGACUCGCGGCUUACCAGCUUGUUGGUGGGGUAGUGGCUUACCAAGGCUUUGACGGGUAGCCGGCCUGAGAGGGUGACCGGCCACAUUGGGACUGAGAUACGGCCCAGACUCCUACGGGAGGCAGCAGUGGGGAAUAUUGCACAAUGGGCGGAAGCCUGAUGCAGCAACGCCGCGUGCGGGAUGACGGCCUUCGGGUUGUAAACCGCUUUCGCCUGUGACGAAGCGUGAGUGACGGUAAUGGGUAAAGAAGCACCGGCUAACUACGUG